Molecule: long non-coding RNA, 1044 nt
Organism: Ipomoea triloba (trilobed morning glory)
Lineage: Eukaryota; Viridiplantae; Streptophyta; Magnoliopsida; Solanales; Convolvulaceae
Exons: 2
Source: RefSeq, a predicted model, not a curated record
CUCUCUCUCACUCUCACGCUUAUGCCGCCACCGCGACGCCUCCUCGCCACCAUGGCGCCUCCACUGCGACGCCUCCUCGCCACCAUGAUGCCUCCACCGCGGUGCCUCCACAGCCGCCGACUCGUACUCUCACACCUUCAAAUCGGCCGAGACUAAAGGGCAAAGGCUCAAAGGUAAACUCAGAUCUGUCUUUUCUUUUUCUUUUUUCUUAAAAUAAAUAUCAAAUAUGUCUUCUCCGCCUUCAGGAGCGACCGAAAUGUCAUUAAUAGCCGGUUUUCUCUGCUUGUUUUUGGAUAAAUCAUUAAUGUAUACGGUGUAGAUCUGUGUUUGUUUAUGUGGAUUUCUGCAUUUUUGUGUGGAUGGAGUGGUUGGAUGUACGGAGCUGCGCGGUGAUGUGGAGUUUUAAUUUGAUUUUGAUUUUUCUGGUGUGUUAGUUUUCAUUUUUCUGGGGUGUUAAAGCUUUAUUUUUUUCUAUUGGUUGAGACCACCGGCGGCUGCGUGAUGUACUCGGGUCACGAGAACACAGCGAUGGUCUCUGUCUGCUCCAGUGGCUACUUGAAGAUAACUCAAGCCAGUGGCUACUUGAAGAUAGCUCAAGCCAGUGGCUACCUGAGAAUCGGUCCAAAGCCGCCUCUCAUACAGCGAACUUGAAAAAUUCUUAUCAUAAACAUGACAAUUCACAAGUAGUCUGAUGAUGGUUAUGCAGUGGGCGGAGAUUUUGUCUACUGAUGCUUUCUUGGCAUUUGAGGAUGUCGGACUAGAUAACAAGAAGGUAUUUCCUGAGCAGAACUUGUUUACUUCAUAUGCUUCUGAUUCUCUUUUCAACCUUUACGUUUCCGUUCUGCAUUUUUUUUCGCUCUAGUUGUAGUUUUUGUUUCCCAAUUUUGAAUUAUAUUGGUUAGGUAGUUUUCCAUACUAUUUCUCUAGACUUUACUUAGAAGCUUUAAAUGCAUAUAUGCUUUGAUUUGAUAUUGGAGUCUUGAUUUAGCUAUAUUGGUUAAUGCAUAGCUCAUUUCUUUCUUUUAAGGGGUGAAUUUACACGUA